GAUGAACGCUGGCGGCGUGCCUAAUACAUGCAAGUCGAGCGAACAGACGAGGAGCUUGCUCCUCUGACGUUAGCGGCGGACGGGUGAGUAACACGUGGAUAACCUACCUAUAAGACUGGGAUAACUUCGGGAAACCGGAGCUAAUACCGGAUAAUAUAUUGAACCGCAUGGUUCAAUAGUGAAAGACGGUUUUGCUGUCACUUAUAGAUGGAUCCGCGCCGCAUUAGCUAGUUGGUAAGGUAACGGCUUACCAAGGCAACGAUGCGUAGCCGACCUGAGAGGGUGAUCGGCCACACUGGAACUGAGACACGGUCCAGACUCCUACGGGAGGCAGCAGUAGGGAAUCUUCCGCAAUGGGCGAAAGCCUGACGGAGCAACGCCGCGUGAGUGAUGAAGGUCUGCGGAUCGUAAAACGCUGUUAUUAGGGAAGAACAAAUGUGUAAGUAACUAUGCACGUCUUGACGGUACCUAAUCAGAAAGCCACGGCUAACUACGG
This 496-nucleotide ribosomal RNA is filed under the name uncultured bacterium. RNAcentral's name for it is "partial 16S ribosomal RNA". It matches the Rfam family "Bacterial small subunit ribosomal RNA", at positions 28 to 506 of the family's 1533-position model. The record is from RNAcentral.